This 180-nucleotide non-coding RNA is filed under the name uncultured Paenibacillus sp. Its description in RNAcentral is "Lysine riboswitch". It matches the Rfam family "Lysine riboswitch aptamer", at positions 5 to 166 of the family's 182-position model. Rfam says of the family: Riboswitches are metabolite binding domains within certain messenger RNAs that serve as precision sensors for their corresponding targets. Allosteric rearrangement of mRNA structure is mediated by ligand binding, and this results in modulation of gene expression. The record is from RNAcentral. Lineage: Bacteria; Bacillati; Bacillota; Bacilli; Caryophanales; Paenibacillaceae.
GAGGUAGAGGUCGCAACUGUGAAGAGUAUACCGGAGGAGGCGUAUGAAGCCGCCUAUGAAUCCGGAGGAAAGGCACCGUUGCCGAAGCGUUCAAUCAGCUUCAAUCCGAUUGAGCCGCUGGGGCUGUCGUCGAAAGAGACAGAACUGUCACAAUUUCUUUAUGCCAUAUGGGGAAUUGUG